Molecule: ribosomal RNA, 1110 nt
Filed under: Triticum aestivum (bread wheat)
Lineage: Eukaryota; Viridiplantae; Streptophyta; Magnoliopsida; Poales; Poaceae
Description: partial small subunit ribosomal RNA
Source: RNAcentral
AUGGCAAUCGCAUUGGCAGCCUUCCUCCUGAUACCGCUCUUCUCCCUCGGCGCAGUCUUCGUCCUCCGUGCGUGGAGACUCGACAAGAAGGCGCCGGCGCAGCGCACGCCGAGGACGCGGCCGUACCCGCUGCUCGGCCACCUGCCGCAGUUCCUGGCGAACCGGCACCGCGUGCUGGACUGGCUCACCGAGGUGCUCGCUCUCCUGCCAACCUGCACGCUGGUGUUCCGCCGGCCCGGCGGCGUCCGAGGCGUCAUCACCGCGAACCCGACCAACCUGGAGCACAUCAUGCGUGCCAGCUUCGAUAACUACCCCAAGGGCCCGCGCUUCGCGGCGCUGCUCCACGACUUCCUCGGCCGGGGCAUCUUCAACGCCGACGGCGAGGCCUGGCGCGCGCAGCGGAAGGCGGCCAGCUACGAGUUCAACACGCGCUCGUUGCGCCUCUUCGUGGCACGAAGCGUGCACAGCGAGCUCCACGGCAGGUUCCUCCCGCUCCUGCGCCGUGCCGCCGGGUCCGGCAGCCAGCUCAACCUCCAGGACACGCUCGAGCGGUACGCGUUCGAUAAUAUCUGCCGUGUCGCCUUUGACCACGACCCCCGCCAGCUCCCGGACGGAGACGACAGCGCUGGCCCAGAAGUCGAGAGCACCGCGACCGCGAGCAGCAGUUUCGCCGACGCGUUCCGGGACGCGGCCAAUCUCAGCGCUGGCAGGUUCCAGUACGCCGUCCCAGGAUUCUGGAUGAUCAAGAAGGCGCUUAAUCUGGGCUCCGAGCGGCGGCUGCGCGAGUCCAUUGCCAUGGUGCAUGGCUUCGCCGAUCGCAUCAUACGGUCGCGGCGGGAGGAGAUGAGCAUGGGCUGCGAGAAGCACGACCUGCUGUCGAGGUUCAUGGCGAACCAGGGCGAGAGCUACACCGAGACGGCCCUCCGCGACGUAGUGAUCAGCUUCCUCCUCGCGGGGCGGGAAACGACAUCCUCGGCGCUCACCUGGUUCUUCUGGCUGCUGUCCUCGCGCCCGGACGUGGAGCGCCGCAUCCGCGACGAGGUCGCCGCCGUGCGCGCCGCCGAGCGAUCGGCGAUCACGGCAGAGCCGGGUUCGAUCUCGACGAGCUGA